Molecule: ribosomal RNA, 116 nt
Filed under: Salmonella enterica subsp. enterica serovar Enteritidis
Lineage: Bacteria; Pseudomonadati; Pseudomonadota; Gammaproteobacteria; Enterobacterales; Enterobacteriaceae
Source: RNAcentral
CCUGGCGGGAGUAGCGCGGUGUGCCCACCUGACCCCAUGCCGAACUCAGAAGUGAAACGCCGUAGCGCCGAUGGUAGUGUGGGGUCUCCCCAUGCGAGAGUAGGGAACUGCCAGGC